CCGGCACGGGUGAGUAACACGUAUCCAACCUGCCGUCUACUCUUGGCCAGCCUUCUGAAAGGAAGAUUAAUCCAGGAUGGCAUCAUGAGUUCACAUGUCCGCAUGAUUAAAGGUAUUUUCCGGUAGACGAUGGGGAUGCGUUCCAUUAGAUAGUAGGCGGGGUAACGGCCCACCAGUCAACGAUGGAUAGGGGUUCUGAGAGGAAGGUCCCCCACAUUGGAACUGAGACACGGUCCAA
Molecule: ribosomal RNA, 238 nt
Filed under: uncultured bacterium
Lineage: Bacteria
Description: partial 16S ribosomal RNA
Rfam family: Bacterial small subunit ribosomal RNA
Source: RNAcentral